This 457-nucleotide ribosomal RNA is filed under the name Edentulina obesa bulimiformis. RNAcentral describes it as "partial 16S ribosomal RNA". It matches the Rfam family "Bacterial large subunit ribosomal RNA", at positions 1817 to 2597 of the family's 2925-position model. The record is from RNAcentral. Lineage: Eukaryota; Metazoa; Mollusca; Gastropoda; Stylommatophora; Streptaxidae.
AGCUUCUUGAAUUCAUAAGAGGUUAUCCCUGCCCAAUGUUUCAUUUAAAUAAAUGGCCGCAGUACCUUGACUGUGCAAAGGUAGCAUAAUAACUUGGCUUUUAAUUUGAGUCUAGAAUGAAAGGGAAAACGGGGGGGAACUCUCUUACUAUAACCAGAUUACUCUAACUUAUCAUAUAGGUGCAAAUGCCUAUAUUCUAGAAAAAAGACGAGAAGACCCUAGGAGUUUUACUUAGUAUACUAUUAGUAGUAUUUUAAUGUUUGACUGGGGCGGUCAAGGGGCAAAUCGCAACCCCCUCUUAAGUUGUAUACAAGUCAGAAGUGUACUCCAGGGAUGAUUAAGCUACCCUAGGGAUAACAGCAUAAUUCUCUCUUAGAGUUUAUGACCUCGAUGUUGGACUAGGAACCCACUUGCCUAGAAAGCAAGUGGUUUGAUUCUGUUCGAAUCUUUCUUUCCU